This is an RNA transcript of Pan troglodytes (chimpanzee), 5141 nucleotides long. It is a transcript of the gene named SUMO specific peptidase 7, with no coding region annotated. The record is from RefSeq and is a predicted model, not a curated record. The transcript has 25 exons. Lineage: Eukaryota; Metazoa; Chordata; Mammalia; Primates; Hominidae.
UUUUCCUUUCCCCUCCCCCUCCCUCUCCCAAGCCGGAGGGGUCCUGAGGUGACAGCGCCUGCAACUGAAAUUUCAGCAGCGGGAGAAGAUGGACAAGAGAAAGCUCGGGCGACGGCCAUCUUCAUCCGACUGGAGUGCAGUGGUGCAAAAACGGCCCACUGCAGCCUCGACCUCCUGGGCUCAAGCGAUUCUCCACAUGCCUCACUGCAGCCUUGACCUCCUGGGCUCAAGCGAUUUUCCCACCUCAGCCUCCCAAGCAGCUGAGACCGCAGAAAUCAUCACAGAAGGAAAAAGGAAAAAGUCAUCUUCUGAUUUAUCGGAGAUAAGAAAGAUGUUAAAUGCAAAACCAGAGGAUGUCCAUGUUCAAUCACCACUGUCCAAAUUCAGAAGCUCAGAACGCUGGACUCUCCCUUUGCAGGUGUGGGAAAGAAGCCUAAGGAAUAAAGUCAUCUCUCUAGACCAUAAAAAUAAAAAACAUAUCCGAGGGUGUCCUAUUACUUCCAAGUCAUCACCAGAAAGGCAACUCAAAGUUAUGUUGACGAAUGUCCUAUGGACGGAUUUAGGACGAAAAUUCAGAAAGACCCUACCUAGAAACGAUGCUAAUUUAUGUGAUGCCAGCAAGGUGCAAUCAGACUCAUUGCCUUCGACAUCUGUUGACAGCCUAGAGACAUGUCAAAAAUUAGAACCUCUUCACCAAAGCCUUAAUUUAUCUGAAAGGAUACCCAGAGUUAUAUUGACGAAUGUCCUGGGAACGGAGUUAGGAAGAAAAUACAUAAGGACCCCACCUGUAACUGAGGGAAGUUUGAGUGAUACAGACAACUUGCAAUCAGAGCAACUUUCUUCAUCAUCUGAUGGCAGCCUAGAAUCUUAUCAAAAUCUAAACCCUCACAAGAGCUGUUAUUUAUCUGAAAGGGGCUCACAACGAAGUAAGACAGUAGAUGACAAUUCUGCAAAGCAGGCUGCGCACAAUAAAGAAAAACGAAGAAAGGAUGAUGGCAUUUCUCUUUUAAUAUCUGAUACUCAGCCUGAAGACCUUAACAGUGGAAGUAGAGGUUGUGAUCAUCUCGAACAGGAAAGCAGAAACAAGGAUGUUAAAUAUUCUGAUUCAAAAGUGGAACUCACUCUGAUUUCCAGGAAGACAAAGAGAAGGCUUAGAAAUAAUUUACCUGAUUCUCAAUAUUGUACUUCUUUGGAUAAGUCAACAGAACAGACAAAAAAACAAGAAGAUGACUCAACAAUAUCCACUGAGUUUGAAAAGUCAAGUGAAAACUAUCAUCAGGAUCCAGAACUGCCUGAAGAAAUUACAACUAAACCUACAAAAAGUGAUUUUACUAAACUAUCCUCACUUAACAGUCAGGAGUUGACUUUGAGUAAUGCCACCAAAAGUGCCUCUGCCGGUUCAACCACUGAAACUGUUGAGAACUCUAAUUCCAUUGAUAUUGUGGGGAUUUCUUCCCUGGUUGAGAAGGAUGAGAAUGAGUUGAAUACCACAGAAAAGCCUAUUCUAAGAGGACAUAAUGAAGGGAACCAAUCACUGAUCUCAGCUGAACCAAUUGUUGUUUCCAGUGAUGAAGAAGGACCUGUUGAACAUAAAAGUUCAGAAAUUCUUAAGUUACAAUCUAAGCAAGACCGUGAGACAACUAAUGAAAAUGAGAGUACUUCUGAAUCAGCAUUGUUAGAACUACCAUUGAUUACAUGUGAAUCUGUACAGAUGUCAUCUGAAUUAUGCCCAUAUAAUCCUGUCAUGGAAAACAUUUCCAGUAUUAUGCCUAGUAAUGAGAUGGAUCUACAACUGGAUUUUAUAUUUACUUCUGUUUAUAUUGGUAAAAUAAAAGGAGCUUCUAAAGGUUGUGUUACAAUCACAAAAAAAUAUAUUAAGAUCCCAUUUCAAGUGUCCCUGAAUGAGAUUUCAUUGCUAGUGGAUACCACACAUUUAAAGCGGUUUGGGUUAUGGAAAAGUAAGGAUGAUAAUCACAGUAAAAGGAGUCAUGCUAUUCUUUUCUUCUGGGUCUCUUCAGAUUAUCUUCAAGAGAUUCAGACCCAAUUAGAACACUCUGUAUUAAGCCAGCAAUCAAAAUCUAGUGAAUUCAUUUUCCUUGAACUACACAAUCCUGUUUCACAAAGAGAAGAAUUGAAGCUGAAAGAUAUUAUGACAGAAAUAAGUAUAAUCAGUGGAGAAUUGGAGCUUUGUUACCCGUUGUCUUGGGUUCAGGCAUUUCCUUUGUUUCAGAACCUCUCUUCAAAAGAAAGUUCUUUUAUUCAUUAUUACUGUGUUUCAACUUGUUCUUUCCCUGCUGGUGUUGCUGUUGCUGAAGAAAUGAAGCUGAAAUCAGUAUCUCAGCCCUCAAACACAGAUGUGGCCAAGCCUACUUACACCUUCCUGCAGAAGCAAAGUAGCGGUUGCUACUCCCUUUCUAUUACAUCUAAUCCAGAUGAAGAAUGGCGAGAAGUCAGGCACACUGGACUUGUUCAGAAGUUGAUUGUAUAUCCUCCACCACCUACUAAGGGGGGAUUAGGAGUAACUAAUGAAGAUCUGGAGUGUUUAGAAGAAGGAGAGUUUCUUAAUGAUGUAAUCAUUGAUUUUUACCUUAAGUAUCUUAUAUUGGAGAAGGCAUCAGAUGAACUUGUUGAACGAAGUCACAUUUUUAGUAGCUUUUUCUAUAAAUGCUUGACAAGAAAGGAAAAUAAUUUAACAGAAGAUAAUCCAAAUCUUUCAAUGGCACAGAGAAGACAUAAAAGAGUAAGAACAUGGACUCGUCACAUAAACAUUUUUAAUAAAGAUUACAUCUUUGUACCUGUAAAUGAGUCGUCUCACUGGUAUCUCGCAGUCAUUUGUUUUCCAUGGUUAGAAGAAGCUGUGUAUGAAGAUUUUCCACAAACUGUAUCCCAGCAGUCCCAGGCUCAGCAGUCCCAAAAUGACAACAAAACAAUAGGUGACAUCCAUAACGUAGAUGGUGUUUUUAAAAAUGAUGACAAUAAUUUAAUGGUUACAGGGAAGAAAAUGAAGUUAACGAUAAUGAUCUACGUACUACUUCGACACUAUCUUUGAGUGCAGAGGAUUCCCAAAGUACCGAGUCGAAUAUGUCAGUACCAAAGAAAAUGUGUAAAAGGCCAUGUAUUCUUAUACUAGACUCCUUGAAAGCUGCUUCUGUACAAAACACAGUUCAGAAUUUACGAGAGUAUUUAGAGGUAGAGUGGGAAGUUAAACUAAAAACUCAUCGUCAAUUCAGCAAAACAAACAUGGUGGAUCUAUGCCCUAAAGUUCCUAAACAGGACAAUAGCAGUGAUUGUGGAGUAUAUUUAUUGCAGUAUGUGGAAAGCUUCUUCAAGGAUCCUAUUGUUAACUUUGAACUUCCAAUUCAUUUGGAGAAGUGGUUUCCUCGUCAUGUAAUAAAGACCAAACGGGAAGAUAUUCGAGAGCUCAUCUUGAAACUUCAUUUACAGCAACAGAAGGGCAGCAGUAGCUAGUUAAUCUGUACAAACAUGACACAGAUGUUCUCUAAGAUUACUGGAAAGCCUCUUACCAGCAUUUGUGUUAGCCAGCUCACAGAGAAGAAAAUAACUUGCAGUAGUUUUAUAAUAAGUCAUUGGAACAUUAUUUAAAAUACAUAGGACACAUUAUUAGAAUUGUUGGGAUCUCAUAGAUGGAAUGGGAAUGGGGGUGAUAUAGAUAAACUUACUAGAUAUAAAUUAAAAUUUUAUAAAUAUUUCAUAUUUUUCUGAGUAAAUAUGAUUGGAUUAUGCAACAGCAUAUGUAAUAUGGGAAUGUUUUGUAGAUAAUAAAACUUACAUGAUCUGUACUUCCACGUGACUGGGUGCUGAGGGGAGUUAAAGCCUCCCUGGUGCCAGCCCCAGUGCUUGUCAAAUUUGCUGACAGGUCACGUCAUAUUGUAAUUCUAUUCUUUGCAGCUCAAGCAUGCAGUAUGAAUACUGUGUAUUUUUUAAAAAAAUAAUUUAGUAUCAAGGCUUCAGAAAAUGCCAUUUACGGCAUCCCUUCUGUAUGUAACAAAAAGACAUUCAUAAUGUUAGGAAGAUGAUAAAAAUUCGCUCUUUUAAAGUGCAGCUUAUUAUUCUCAAUUGCUAAAUACGAUUACUCUGCUUUAUUUUUUUUUCAUUUCUUUUGAUGUCAUAUGUGAGUAUCUUAUAAUUUAGUUCAUUUGUUCAGGGUAAAAUUUGAAACAAAAAAUUUUACCUGUGCAAAAUAGUUUUUUAAAAAUUAUACAUGUAGCUCAACUUGAGGUAUUGCUAUAUAAAUAUUCACUCACAUUAUCACGGAAUUUAUGUAUAGUUUCUCUAAUAUAGAAGAUAAAAUUGGUGUCCUCAUAACUUUAACAAAGAAAACCCUCAGUCCUAUUUAUUAAUGGUUAGAAUUAAAUAUAUAAUUUUAUAGCUCAGUUUACCCAGUAUUCAUCUGCAAAGCCAGAUUGCUCUCAUUGCUUUUAUAUUUUUAAAUUGUAGCUUUUAGAGACCUAUGAUCCUCAUGGAACUUAAUUUUUUUAUUAAAUAUUCAGGUAACAGUUCUGAAUUCAUGUGAUAAUGGUGGCAUUAUAUAUGAUUAAACACUUCAGAACUUUCUAAUGUUAUCAGGAGUAUUUUGCGGGAGAUAUGAUUAUAUUGUAUUUUCUCAGAUAAGAAAAAUGUUUUUUAACAAUAUUAUUUUAAUCUGUUUUAAGCAUCUCUUAGAUUUACAUUAUAACUACAUAAAGCAGUGAAGCAAAGGCAAAUUAAGAUAAAGCUAGAAAGUCUGAACAUUUUAUUUCAAAAUCAUACGAAUUGAGGUCAUUUAUGCCUCAGUAUUCUUAGCUUUUGUUGAUUUUGGCACUAUCUUUAUAUUAUUAAAUAUAUUUGUUGUUUGGAUUUUUCAUAUAAAGAUGGCUAUAAUUACAUAUUUCAUUCCCAAUUUGUGUGUGUUGGGGGGUACUUUUAAAGGUGACUAUUGUUUUGUACAUCUAAUUUUGGGAAAGCAAGUCUAUAGGACAUCUUGUGAUUUCUUAACGUUUUUGUUUGUAUGUUUUUCAAAGAUAUCACUGUCCUUUAUCAUGUUUUGAAGAUUGUUUAAAAUUCAUUUUCCUAAAUUAAUGUGCAAGUAAUGUUUUGAGGAUAUCAGUGUUUUAUAUUAAACAUAUUUCCAAUUCAUUAAA